This 324-nucleotide unclassified non-coding RNA is filed under the name soil metagenome. RNAcentral's name for it is "partial contains 5.8S ribosomal RNA, internal transcribed spacer 2, and large subunit ribosomal RNA". The stretch from base 1 to 120 matches the Rfam family "5.8S ribosomal RNA", at positions 35 to 154 of the family's 154-position model. The record is from RNAcentral.
GAUGAAGAACGUAGCGAAAUGCGAUAAGUAGUGUGAAUUGCAGAAUUCAGUGAAUCAUCGAAUCUUUGAACGCACAUUGCGCCCCUUGGUAUUCCAUGGGGCAUGCCUGUUCGAGCGUCAUUUGUACCUUCAAGCUUUGCUUGGUGUUGGGUGUUUGUCCCUCGGGACUCGCCUUAAAGUCAUUGGCAGCCAGAGUUUUGGUUUUGAAGCGCAGCACAAGUCGCGAUUCAAGGCUAUCCGCCCGCUUCCACAAGCCUUUUUCACUUUUGACCUCGGAUCAGGUAGGGAUACCCGCUGAACUUAAGCAUAUCAAUAAGCGGAGGA